Molecule: ribosomal RNA, 497 nt
Filed under: uncultured bacterium
Lineage: Bacteria
Description: partial 16S ribosomal RNA
Rfam family: Bacterial small subunit ribosomal RNA
Source: RNAcentral
GAUGAACGCUGGCGGCGUGCCUAAUACAUGCAAGUCGAGCGAACAGACGAGGAGCUUGCUCCUCUGACGUUAGCGGCGGACGGGUGAGUAACACGUGGAUAACCUACCUAUAAGACUGGGAUAACUUCGGGAAACCGGAGCUAAUACCGUAUAAUAUAUUGAACCGCAUGGUUCAAUAGUGAAAGACGGUUUUGCUGUCACUUAUAGAUGGAUCCGCGCCACAUUAGCUAGUUGGUAAGGUAACGGCUUACCAAGGCAACGAUGCGUAGCCGACCUGAGAGGGUGAUCGGCCACACUGGAACUGAGACACGGUCCAGACUCCUACGGGAGGCAGCAGUAGGGAAUCUUCCGCAAUGGGCGAAAGCCUGACGGAGCAACGCCGCGUGAGUGAUGAAGGUCUUCGGAUCGUAAAACUCUGUUAUUAGGGAAGAACAAAUGUGUAAGUAACUAUGCACGUCUUGACGGUACCUAAUCAGAAAGCCACGGCUAACUACGUG